AAUAGAUACCCUGGUAGUCCACGCCGUAAACGAUGAGUGCUAAGUGUUAGGGGGUUUCCGCCCCUUAGUGCUGCAGCUAACGCAUUAAGCACUCCGCCUGGGGAGUACGGUCGCAAGACUGAAACUCAAAGGAAUUGACGGGGGCCCGCACAAGCGGUGGAGCAUGUGGUUUAAUUCGAAGCAACGCGAAGAACCUUACCAGGUCUUGACAUCCCACUGACCGCUAUGGAGACAUAGUUUUCCCUUCGGGGACAGUGGUGACAGGUGGUGCAUGGUUGUCGUCAGCUCGUGUCGUGAGAUGUUGGGUUAAGUCCCGCAACGAGCACAACCCUUGAUCUUAGUUGCCAUCAUUUAGUUGGGCACUCUAAGGUGACUGCCGGUGACAAACCGGAGGAAGGUGGGGAUGACGUCAAAUCAUCAUGCCCCUUAUGACCUGGGCUACACACGUGCUACAAUGGACGGUACAAACGGUUGCCAACCCGCGAGGGGAGCUAAUCCGAUAAAACCGUUCUCAGUUCGGAUUGUAGGCUGCAACUCGCCUAC
This 543-nucleotide ribosomal RNA is filed under the name uncultured bacterium. Its description in RNAcentral is "bacterial SSU rRNA". It matches the Rfam family "Bacterial small subunit ribosomal RNA", at positions 777 to 1319 of the family's 1533-position model. The record is from RNAcentral.